Molecule: unclassified non-coding RNA, 732 nt
Filed under: Hevea brasiliensis (rubber tree)
Lineage: Eukaryota; Viridiplantae; Streptophyta; Magnoliopsida; Malpighiales; Euphorbiaceae
Source: RNAcentral
GAGCCCUGUUCUAAUUGGAACUAAAAUGGUUGAAAGAGUGAUAAAUAUGCGAAAAUUGGCUCCUCCAAAGCAAGAUGAUAAACUCUCUCCUUAUGGUAACCUGUCUGGGAAGUCAUCAUCACCCGACAGCUCAGGCUUUGGAAGAACGCUUUCAAAGAAAUCAUUGGAUAUGGCUAUAAGACAUAUGGACAUAAGGCGAAGCAUUCCUGGUAAUUUAAGGCCUCUGAUGACUAACAUUCCAGCAUCUUCAAUGUAUAGUGUGAGAUCAGGGUCUACACGAAGCAGAACAGUUAGUGUGUCAGACUCUCCUCUGGCAACAAGCAGUAAUGCUAGUUCAGAAGUGAGUGUCAACAAUAAUGGUUUUUCUUUGUUUAGAUGGGAUCGAAUUAGAAGAUGAUGUUGGCAAUGAUAGAGGUGGUCAAUCUCCUCUACAAGGCAGGUAACAGUUGGAAACAAAUAUUCUUGAUGACUAAGGCUUUUUCUAAUCGCCUCAUGAAUUAUUUUGGGUUUUCAACCAGCUUGACAGCUGAAAGAGAAACCUAUUUCUGGAAAGAGAAGAAAACCGACCAAAAUGCAUGCGUUUGGUAAUGUAAAGUUUGUUAGAUUGCUUGGCAAUUAAGUUUUCUGUAAUCCAUGGUCUUUGUAUUAUUAGGGAAACCAUUUAUGAGUCCUACGGUUGUUCUUGCUCAUUUCCUACAAGGUGAGAUUUGAAUCAUACAGUUGUUCAUUUUC